GUUGAACGCUGGCGGCAUGCUUUAUACAUGCAAGUCGAACGAUAACAUGCCGCACUUUGCUGUCGAAUGUUGGCCGGGUGCGUAAUAGUAACGCACGGGCCCCCUCCUUGUGGAUCACUACUCACAACAGUAGCUAAUACCUCAUACGAUCUAUUGAUGAAAGCGGCGUGCCGUAAUGCCUCGCGCGAUUGUUGCUGCCGAUGUCAGAUUAGUUAGUUGGUGAGGUAAAGGCUUACCAAGCCAACGAUCUGUAGCUGAUCUGAGAGGACGACCCGCCACACUGGGACUGAGACACGGUCCAGACUCCUACGGGAGGCAGCAGUGGGGAAUUUUGGACAAUGGGCGAAAGCCUGAUCGAGCAAUGCCGCGUGAAGGAAGAAGGUCUUCGGGUUGUAAACUGCUGUUGUAAGGAAAGAAAAGGUGCUGGUUAAUACCCGCAGCUAAUGACGGUACCGUAAGAGUAAGCACCGGCUAACUACGUG
RNAcentral lists this ribosomal RNA (482 nucleotides) under uncultured bacterium. RNAcentral describes it as "partial 16S ribosomal RNA". It matches the Rfam family "Bacterial small subunit ribosomal RNA", at positions 28 to 507 of the family's 1533-position model. The record is from RNAcentral.